Long non-coding RNA from Solea senegalensis (Senegalese sole), 2616 nucleotides. RefSeq lists it as uncharacterized. The record is from RefSeq and is a predicted model, not a curated record. Lineage: Eukaryota; Metazoa; Chordata; Actinopteri; Pleuronectiformes; Soleidae. The transcript has 3 exons.
AGCCAUUGUACCUGCACAAAGACAAACGCAAACAAGCACCGGAUGGAAAUAAGACUCACUUCCUGCAGUCCAUGCACAGUGUAGAGGGGUGGAAAUACUGUGGAAGCUGGUAGCUGUCAUCAGCACAUCCGGCCUACUGUGUGCUGCUGCUAGUGAUGUGGAGGGGCUUUUAUACCUCCUUCCCUCCUCCUCCUCCUCCUCCUCCUUAUUGGUAUUGGCUGGUCAUCUGGAUGCAACGUUUUGUUAUUGCACAGUUUCAGUUGCAAAACUGUGGGAGGUUUCAUCGCCUUGCUUAAGGAUCCUUAGCAGAGCAGACGCUUGUUGUCAGAGAGAGGAAAUCUGUUAAUAAACCUCUUUUAAGAAACUGUCUCUUCCAUCACAUCACCCCACUGCCUUAAAUAGACAUGGCAGCUUUUUGCAGAGGUGUCAUCUGUUCUGUCAACCACACUCACAGUUAAAGUAAUAGAGACAUAAAGAUAAACGUAUGUAUGUUAAAAAAAAAAAAAGAUAGACAGACACUCUGUAAUGUAAAGACUAGGGCUGAACAUUCUUUUGUAAGAAUGAGAACUUUAAGAUAUAAAGCAUGUAUGAGUUACACUUUUAGUUUGAAUAGAAGAUAGAACAGUCAAAAUAAGACUUAUUAAAUUGCAGCCUUUGUGAUUUGCUAAUUGAAUUAUUUCAAAUUGCUAUUUGGAUUUGAAUAUGUUUCAUUGUUUUCCGUCUUGGUGAUGAGUUUCUCAUCAGUUUGUGCAUAUGUAGCUGCUGCUACUACAUGUGGCUGCUGUGCACAAUGUAUACAAUCUUUCUAUAGUUCAGCAGUGAGUUAACACUAUCCUAAAAUCUCCAUUUAUGGCAUUUAUGUCAGUGGCAAGGUUCAAAUGCAGCCAAACUACAAAGGAAUGUGUAACCUGUCUGUGGAGCAUAAUAGUGAACAACCUAGUUUUAAUCACAAGCUAUCUUGGAACCAUAUUUGGUGAGCACACCACAGGUCAAAUUCUAUGCCUAAUUGUGCACAUGCUGAAUGCAUUACCCUGCUAUCAUUAUGCAGCUUUUAUCAGGCCGCACUUCAAGUCAAGAAAACAUUGGAGAACAUUCAGCAAAUGAUCAUUUAGAGGUGGAUGUUUGUGUAGAAUACACACAAAUAUGGACUUUUGGGUUACGUAACAAUACAGCACAAUCUGUAUGUUCUCAUACUGCAUCCAUAUAAAUGUAUUCAUAAUUAUUCAAAAGACGAAUGAGUACACAAAUCAUUUUAAUACAAUUCUUAAUAACGACAUGACACAUGGGAAAACUCCCUUUUUAAACACAUGUUGCCGUGAUACUGCGAAUGCUUUGGUAUUUUGGCUCAGGAACCAGUUUCACAUACCGUACACCAUCAGACAGCUUCCAUGAUAAAUGUGAUUUCUGUUCUUGUACAUGAUUUACACCCAGGACAUUAGUGUACAUGUGAUUUAAAGAUGCUCUGGGCCCACUGCCUCAAUACAAUAUGGAUUCAGCCAACGUUGAUUUAAAAGAUGAAACCAGAUAUUUAGUUGAAGAAAGAGGCAGUCAAUUUGGACCACUUAGAUGUGCUACAGCCAUCUGCUGCGGAGUCUUUGUCAGAGUUGCCAUAGAGACAAGAGCAAACAAAGAAACGGUAUUUCUGUCAUUUUGCAACCCCAUCUCCCCUGUCUGUAGUUAAAGAUUUGAGAUAAACGGCUCAAGCAAAACCUGAGACUUUUGGCUACGAUGCGGAACAAAGAGGGUAACAACUGUUAUUCCACUGUGAAACAAGGCACAGUCAUGUCGUGGUAUCAUUUAAUCUGUUGUAUGUAAGCACUGCUGUGUGUUUUUGUGAGAAUGUGUGGCCAUGUUUGUCGCAGAAAGCCCUACCUGUGAUACAUGCUGUGUGUGUGUGUGUAUGGGAAUGCCACACUCUCUCUUGGCCUCCUUCAUGUCAUGCUGAACCAUCUUGCAGAUGGUUCAGCAUAUUACUAUUCUCUGUGGGCACAACAGGCUCCACUCGAGGUUUUGGCUGCCUACCGGCUAGACUAAUUGUAUACACAAACAGGUUUGUUGCAAAACAAAGACAGUGAAUGACCUUAUCUGAUUGUAUGUAUUUAACAUCGGGGUUCCCAAACCCUGGGCUGGGGGCCGGUACCAUGUCUUGGGCUGGGCCAACCCAAGCCUAAUAAUCUUGUACACAAAGCAAGCCUGUGUUUUGUAAUUUUCCGUUGGAAUGUAUUACAUGUCACAAGGGAAUACACAUUAAUUUGAAAGUACCAAAACAAAACAAGACUUCGCAGCUGAGCAGACAUUAAAAACAGACUGUGCUCACACAUAGUAACAGAACUAAGACUUGCUUUCAAAGUGAGUGAUUUAUUUCCAUGUGUUUUGAGCAGUGGUUAAGGUUAAAUGAUGCUUUUACUGUAAUUUAUAUAACUUAACAUGGCAAUAAAAUAGAUUGGUAUCAUCAUCUCCGUAGCAUUCCCUCUUUCACAAGCUCGACAACUGCUGCCGUGAAUCCUUGCUUUCCAUGAUAUUGUUUACAGCCUCAAACACACACUCACAGGCAUCUCAUUUUUAUAAAUGCUGAUUUUUAUGAGAUCACACGAGGAUCAGGAGACAAGAAAGUCA